GCGCCACCACCAUGUGGCUCUCGAUUUUUCCUUUUAAAAGUUUAAGUCCAUCAAGGACUAACAGUUUCAAACUUAACUUAGGUUUUUCAGCAAUUUCUGCACGCUGUGUGAAAACGAAAGGGUCAUACUUGAGGAAAGCUUACACACUCUCAGGUAGGCUUGUAGGUACGAACAGGUGUGCAAUUCUUCUCAUUGAUAUCACACUUUUGGUUCCUUCCGACAAAUUUCUCUGUGCCCAUUAAUUAAUACAGGGUCCCACGUCCGUAUCAUUUCUUUUGGGGUGUAAAGGGGAGAUAAAGAUACACCAUCGUUGACUUCUCAGAGAAAAUCUGCUGUGUCAAAGCCUGCACUGGAUACAGGCUCCCCAGACAUACCCCCCAAUGCUGAAGAAAUCAAGAGCAAAAGCUCUGAUUGAUGUUCACUGGAGUAUCGUUAAGUGUAAAAACUAGUGUGACAAAUACACAGAGUGAAAACAGACACAACUCCCUGUAACCAGGAGAAGGUGGCACACGCCAGGUCACAGCCAGAGCAUCUCAGUGCACAGGCCCCCGUGUCUCGGAUGUGCCCUGUGUUGUUGUGGGCAUACGUGGUGCAAACAGGUGUGAGUCCAUCCACGGGGGAGGGGGGGGGGACACACUGCAUCUGGGUGACGUCCACAGAGCAGCGGAAUACAACUGUGAGUUGUGUUUAUACUAAGAUACGAUCCAAGUGUGUGUGUGUGUGUGUGUGUGUGUGUGUGUGUGUGUGUGUGGCAGGGCCAAGCACUGGAUGGCUUCAGAGUGCCCCAUUCAAUCUGUCCACUUCCCUCUUUGAUGCCAUGCCACGUUACAAAAGCAAUCGGGCCACAGUCAUCUUUUUUUUCUCUCCCCCCCCUUGUUAUUAUGACACAAUCUCCCUUUUCAGUCUUAUCAUUUUCAUUAGUUUUUGUAAAAGGCAAUGAGCGUAACAAUACAUGUUUGGUAAAAACAGUUCUUUGUCGCUAUAUUUAAUCAUUUUGUCUUUAAAAAGAAAAAAAAAUAAAACAACAACAACAACCCAAAACAAACAAGCACACCCCCCCUUGGGGGAGGGAAAAAAAAAAAACCAACCUUCCCUCUGCUUGAUGCCAUAGACAAGAGUCCAAAGGACAUUAGCUGCUCCGUUGCACACAUUGGAGGCAGAGUUUGCUGCGGGCUCUGUCUCCCUAAUAGACUGGCGAUUUUGUAAAAGGUUUGAGAGGGUUUUGUUUAACCAUUUCUGCAUGUGUUUUUAAUGAGCUCAUGAUGAUUCGUAACAAAGGCCAGGUUGUAAGGUUUGCAGUCUUUUUUUUUUUUUUUUUUUUUUUUUCCGGACUUGAUCGCUUCCCGCUGACCUGCAGAGUGAGCACCUGUGCUCCUUGCCUGGCUCACCUAUGGGAGUCACGGCGGUGGGGCCAUCUCCGGGCCUGUCUUCAUGCCAGGGAUGAAUCAUGCAGUGGGCAGGGCGGAAGGACUCUCUUUGUUGACAGCUUUCCAUCUGGACUUUGGAUACGGCCGGCCGUUCAUGGAGAGCCUGGGUUAGCUGGGAAGGUCUGCUCAAGUCAGCUCCUCGAUGAAGGCCCGGGGGCAGUAAAACUCCAGCAAAGGAACUGCCUAGCAUUUCAGCUGCAAAUUCAGAGAGGCGGCCCUCCCAGCUCCAGGUACCCAGCCUUCCAACUUGAGUCUAGCCCAAAGCCUGCACUCUAAUACAUAUCAUACUUGAUAUUAAAGUGAGAAGCGGGUAAUUUAUAGGAGCUGCGUGAGAGCUGUCUUCUUUUCAGGGCCAGCCUAUGUGGAAUCGACACCUCUGUUCAGUUUCUCCACAGAGCUUCCUCUGGACAGCUCUCAGCCACCUUGCAUCACAGGGCCUUGCAUACGAAAAGGCUAAUUGUGAUCCUUAAGCAGCCUUCAAAGGAAAGCACGCAACAACAGACUGCUGCCCAGACUACGGCCCCUCUCAUAAGAGUCCAUGGAACCCAACUGCAAAUACUGAUCUCCUUUAUUGAAUACUGACCGAUGUGCCUUGUGAGCUCAGCGGUGGGUAGUCAGACAGUCGGAGCUGAGAACAGAGAAAGCACCUCCUCUCUACUUGUUUGGGGCCCAGAAGAGAGGUUCUGUGUCCACGAAGAACUCUGCCCUGGCACAGAUACACCAACUUACCGUAUAAAUCUUUGCCACCAUGUUUGAUGCGGCAUCUAGAACCAACCAAAUUCUGCCUCGAUUUGGCGGCCGAGGAGUUCAGAUUGAAGUGCCUAAAGAGAGUCUUUGGAAAAGCCACAAAGCAGGGUGUCGACUCAGUCAACUUUCUGUUUAUUGUAGGUAAGAAAAAUGAGGCUCAGAGAGGAGACGUGACUGGCCCAGAGUCACACAGCUGGCUUUUAGUGAAGACAUGAGACUUGGUAUUUUCCCCCAUGUACUUCCAUGUCCAUGUACCAUGUACUCUUGGUGCUACUCAGAGCGGUAAAGGGGAUGCUUGCACCCUACAUCACCCUGGCUCAGGGAAAUGCUCAUAUUCACUUCAUGUUUGGUGGAGAAAACUACAGUGUAAUUAUUCUGACUGUGCAUGUGCUCUGGGGUACCUGUGCCUUCUAAUGGGAGCUAGACUUCCCCGGGGCCACGUGGACAAAACCUGGCCAGCGGCCUCAGCCCGACCAACCGCAUCUCCUCUUUGUGUUGAGGACUCAGUUUAUAUUUCAUUGGCGUCCUGAGCUAGGGGGUGGGAGGUGCUUGCUUUCCUUGGGAAUGUGGAUUUGAGGUUCAUGGAGCAGGUUCCGAUCUAAGAAGGAAACUGCCUCUCACUCGCUGGAGCCUUUCUGGACUGUGUAUCAGACUCUCUGUAUUUGCCACCAACUUGGUUGUUUUCAGAAGCACCUCUUUGCACAGGUCUCAAGGAGGUGCGCCUGGUGAUGUGGAUCAGGCAUCUUCCAUGCAGACUCCCAAUCUCCAGGAGGGUGCUCACAGGCCUAGAUGCUGUAGCAGAACCCCCCCACCUCUCCAUCCCCCUUUCUUGGAGUUGAGGGGGAGGUGAGAAAGGGGCUUGGCUCUGUGCCUGGCACACAGCGAUCCUCCGGGAAGGCGCCAGCUAUUACUACAGCUACUGUUGGUAUUACUGUCACAGCUUCCCACAGGCUGCUUCCUGCCAGAGCUGCGACCUGGUGGGGAGGGAGUGAGAUGGGAGAUAGGAGCCAUGGAGUGCGGAGGUCACUGCCUUCCCAGGCCUGGCCUGGAGAGACACCCUGCCGCCCUUCCCAGCCUCCCUUGCUCCCUCUGCAAGGUCAUUCCUACACACCAUGGCAUUCACUACCUGCGACCUGAGUGUCUGUUCCCACUCACUUUGGGGACUGCGAGACCUACUGCGAAUUGGACAUUUGACGGUGACUCACAUCAGCUUCAGGAACGUGGUGGUUCCCAAGAACUGUGAUACCGAAGAAGCAAGGCUCCCAAGGGUAAGGUGACAUGCCCAAGGUCAUACGGAGUGAUGGGUUGAACUGUGUCCAGCCCCAAAGCUGGCACUGCAUCUGCUUGCUUAGGAACGCCUGCUGCAGAGAACCAGACACACUCACCGACACUUUGCCAUUGAUGGGAGGGGAGUGAUUCUCCUUUGCGAUUCUUAGAUUCUGGGCUUCCCAGAUACCUUCCAACGAGCCUGCGUUACCAGUGGUCACUAACAGUGUACUAGCUGUCUUAGGUAGGGUUUCUAUUGCUGUGAAGAGACACCAUGACCCCGGCAACUCUUAUAAUGGAAAAA
Peromyscus leucopus (white-footed mouse) is the source of this 3744-nucleotide long non-coding RNA. RefSeq lists it as uncharacterized. The record is from RefSeq and is a predicted model, not a curated record. NCBI's taxonomy places the organism in Eukaryota, Metazoa, Chordata, Mammalia, Rodentia, Cricetidae. The transcript is spliced from 5 exons.